This is a long non-coding RNA of Cavia porcellus (domestic guinea pig), 1112 nucleotides long. RefSeq lists it as uncharacterized. NCBI's taxonomy places the organism in Eukaryota, Metazoa, Chordata, Mammalia, Rodentia, Caviidae. The transcript is spliced from 3 exons. The record is from RefSeq and is a predicted model, not a curated record.
CCGUCCGUCCUUUUUUCCCUGCAGACGACUGUGGUGCAGACUCGGCAGCACUCUCAGGGCUGGGCAGGCAGACAGCGAUUAUCAUCGCCCCUGCUUUCAUCCAUUAGCGCGGUGUUAGCAGGACACCACUUUAGAAGAAGAAUCACCUCUGGAUAAAUCAUCUGCUCAGGUAACAGGUGGGACAUGGUGGCUCUGCCUGCAAUGCCAGCACUGAGAGGCUGAGGCAAGAGGAUCACUGUGAGUUCAAGGCCAUCCUGGGCUACAUUGUGAGUUUACAGCCAGCCUGAACCCUGUCUCCAAACCCUGUCUCCAAAAAGUAAUAAUAAUAAUAAUAAAUAAAAAAACAAAAAAGUGGCUAUAGAUGGCUGUGCUUAUAAAAUAUAAAUACAGACUUUUAAUUUCUUGAUAAUAUAAAUUCACAGUAAUAUGUUUUCUUUUAAGCAAAGGAUAUAGUGUGUAAUUUAAGAAUGCACCAAGAUAUUUUAAGACAGUCUUCUUUGCUAACUGACUGAUUAGGUUUGUGAACUGCACAUAAUUUUUUUUCAGCGAAUUUCCUUCAAAAUUUGAGGAGAAAAAAUACAAAGUAAUUAGUACAUAGAUGUUCAAAUAGUAAAACAGAACAUCAACACUGCUUAUGGGAAUAAAAUCAUCCACCAAUUUCUACUUUGUGGUUGCAAACUGGUCAAAUAAUUUAAAGGUAUAUUUUCUGGAGUAUACAUAAUGAAAAGUAAUCAGUUCUUUGUUUCUUUAGAACUCUUGAUGAACAUAUAUACAUUUGUAAUAUACACAUAUUUACAUAUGUGCCUGAUUAUAUGAUUUAGGUGUUGUCAAAGUGGCUGUUAAGAUAUCUAUAUGUCUAAAGAGUUUGUUUGCUAUAUUGGUCUUACUCAAAAUAUGUUUUGAAAUGCACAAAACAACAAUACACAGAAUUUCUAUGCCUCUUUCAGAAUACUGCAGCAACCUGCAAAUCCGCUUGUUUUUAGCUGUAGACUUUAAGAGAAGUCUAGUUAGAUAAACUCCAGCAAGACCUGGUGCAGGGAAGGGAGGAUGAAAAGUGGGGAAUUCAUGAUGGGCCUUGAAGGUCGCGGGAUUGAAGGGAGGGAUGAGGUGCU